Molecule: ribosomal RNA, 492 nt
Filed under: uncultured bacterium
Lineage: Bacteria
Description: partial 16S ribosomal RNA
Rfam family: Bacterial small subunit ribosomal RNA
Source: RNAcentral
AUUGAACGCUGGCGGCAUGCUUUACACAUGCAAGUCGAACGGUAACAGGCCUUCGGGUGCUGACGAGUGGCGAACGGGUGAGUAAUGCAUCGGAACGUACCCAGAGGUGGGGGAUAACGCAGCGAAAGCUGUGCUAAUACCGCAUGUGAUCUGAGGAUGAAAGCGGGGGACCGAGCAGCAAUGUUUGGCCUCGCGCCUUUGGAGCGGCCGAUGUCGGAUUAGCUAGUUGGUGGGGUAAAGGCCUACCAAGGCGACGAUCCGUAGCUGGUCUGAGAGGACGACCAGCCACACUGGGACUGAGACACGGCCCAGACUCCUACGGGAGGCAGCAGUGGGGAAUUUUGGACAAUGGGCGCAAGCCUGAUCCAGCAAUACCGCGUGCGGGAAGAAGGCCUUCGGGUUGUAAACCGCUUUUGGCAGGAACGAAACGGUGUCCGCUAAUACCGGGCGCUAAUGACGGUACCUGCAGAAUAAGCACCGGCUAACUACGUG